This 2768-nucleotide small RNA is filed under the name Pan troglodytes (chimpanzee). RNAcentral's name for it is "processed transcript". The record is from RNAcentral. Lineage: Eukaryota; Metazoa; Chordata; Mammalia; Primates; Hominidae.
CAGCUCCCAUCGUUCCAACCUUUCUGGAGAAGCCGUGGCCUGAUGUGCCCCCAGGACUCUCCUGGGCUGCGGGUAGGCCCUUUGAUCCCUGAACAGGAUUAUGAGCGGCUGGAGGACUGUGACCCUGAGGGGUCCCAAGACUCACCCAUCCACGGGGAGGAGCAGCAACCCCUGCUUCAUGUCCCUGAAGGGCUCCGAGGCUCCUGGCAUCACAUCCAGAACCUGGACAGCUUCUUCACCAAGAUCUACAGCUACCACCAGCGGAAUGGCUUUGCCUGCAUCUUGCUGGAGGAUGUCUUCCAGCUGGGACAAUUUAUUUUCAUUGUCACCUUCACAACCUUCCUCCUUCGAUGCGUGGAUUACAAUGUUCUCUUUGCCAACCAACCAAGUAACCAUACCAGACCUGGGUCGUUCCACAGCAAAGUGACCCUGUCAGAUGCCAUCCUACCCUCAGCCCAGUGUGCUGAGAGGAUCUGCUCCAGCCCGCUGCUGGUCCUCCUCCUGGUCCUGGCUGCCGGCUUCUGGCUGGUCCAACUGCUUCGCUCAGUCUGCAACCUCUUCAGCUACUGGGACAUCCAGGUGUUUUACAGGGAGGCCCUGCACAUCCCCCCGGUCUUUCAUUCCGGAAGAGCAGUGCCAGGGUCGUGCGCCGCAGCUCCUGCUGCAGACAGCCCUGGCCCACAUGCACUACCUCCCGGAGGAGCCCGGCCCCGGCGGCAGGGACCGCGCCUACCGGCAGAUGGCGCAGCUGCUGCAGUACCGAGCGGUCUCCCUCCUGGAGGAGCUCCUGUCCCCGCUCCUCACCCCGCUGUUUCUACUUUUCUGGUUCCGCCCUCGUGCCCUGGAGAUUAUCGACUUUUUUCAUCACUUCACUGUGGAUGUGGCUGGGGUUGGGGACAUCUGUUCCUUUGCCCUUAUGGAUGUGAAGCGCCACGGACACCCUCAGUGGCUCUCGGCGGGACAGACUGAGGCCUCGCUGUCUCAGCGUGCGGAGGACGGCAAGACUGAGCUUUCUUUGAUGCGGUUCUCCCUGGCGCAUCCACUCUGGCGCCCCCCAGGGCACAGCUCUAAGUUUCUUGGGCACCUCUGGGGCCGAGUACAACAAGAUGCAGCUGCCUGGGGUGCCACCUCGGCUCGCGGCCCCUCCACCCCGGGGGUGCUCAGCAACUGCACCUCGCCCCUGCCUGAGGCCUUCCUGGCCAACCUCUUCGUGCACCCUCUCCUGCCUCCGAGAGAUACAGCCCCCUGUCCAGCUGCGGCCACAGCCAGCCUCCUUGCCUCCAUUUCCCGAAUUGCCCAGGACCCCAGCUCUGUGUCCCCAGGAGGCACUGGGGGCCAGAAGCUGGCCCAGCUCCCAGAACUUGCUUCUGCCGAGAUGAGUCUCCAUGUCAUCUACCUGCACCAGCUUCACCAGCAGCAGCAGCAGCAGGAGCCGUGGGGUGAGGCUGCAGCCUCCAUCCUGUCCAGGCCCUGCUCCAGCCCCUCACAGCCACCCUCGCCUGAUGAGGAGAAGCCAUCCUGGUCAAGUGACGGCUCCAGUCCUGCUUCUAGCCCCAGACAACAGUGGGGAACCCAGAAGACCCGGAAUCUGUUCCCCGGAGGGUUUCAGGUGACCACAGACACCCAGAAGGAGCCUGACCGGGCCUCUUGCACUGACUGAGACGACUCCUCAGGGUACCCUGGCUUCGGCAGCCACAGGAGAUUGGAGGGUGGAGUAGAAAAACACAAGGAGUCAUUGUUAGAGGCCCCAUAGAUGACAGGCCCAGGUGCUUUAGUUGGGCAGGACCUGGGAGUCAGUGAGGAACUCGCCCCGAGAACAGAGAAAAGGUAGGAAAGGAGAGGAGAUGCUGAUGGCAUCUGGAAACAAGUCUUAGAGAUGGUCUCCACCCAGAGGGAAUAAGGGGAGACAUCCCCAACUGGAAUGUGUCCUGGAGCAGCUGCCUGGGAAGAAGUCCUCGAGUUUCCUCAAGGUGGGGGACAGAGGUCAAGGAUGAGGCCGAGCUAAAUGGAAGGGUGACAGUGAGGCAGGCCCCACUCCUGGCAGCUGAGUGCUGCACCUGCCUUCUUGAUCACGAGCCUGAGAACUGCACGGGGGAGCAGCCCAGACUGGCUGGAAACCAUGUUUUCAGAGUGCAGGGUCAAGCGGCGUGUAGGACUCUGUCAAAAGAAUGACCCCUUUCCCCACCACAUACCCACAACUGCACAGCCUCUGGACAGAUGUGAGAAGGCACCACCUCAAGAGGGGAGGAGCGGGCCUGAUCCUGGUCGGGCGGACCUAAGUCGGGCAGCCGCUCUCCCGGAACUGGAAGGGAAAGCCAGGCGGCUCUCAGGGGCUGUUGGUGUCUGAGCCGGGAGGGUCGAACGCCCAGGGCACUGCGCCCCGCAACUGACGCUCCUGCAAGGAAAAGCUCUGGCACGCCGAUGACGUCGCCGGCCUCGUCCAGCUCCAUGUCGCCCUCCGUCGCCAGGAUGCGCUGCACGGUCUGCAGGACGUUGGUUGCCAUGGUGACAUCGCCGCAGACAAACAUGUGGCCCCGCUCGAGGCACAGCACGCGGUGCACCUCCGCAGCCAGCUCCGUCCUCAGGAUGUCCUGCACGUUACCAUUGCGCCCUCAGAGUCUCACACCUUGGGGUUGUCAGGUUCCCGGGAGAAGGCGGUGAGGACUCGGCCAAACACCCCGCGCUGCUGGGCGUUCUGCACCUCGUCGCGGUAGAGAUGGUCAAGUUGGGAGCAUCGGCAGCCGAACACCAAAGUCAUGGGAGUGGGC